GCGCUGGCAAAAAACCAGCGCCGGGAUUAGCACCCUGAAAACUCUUCACGGCGGUACAUCAAGGCGCAUCGCGUCUUUUUU
This 81-nucleotide small RNA is filed under the name Gynuella sunshinyii YC6258. RNAcentral describes it as "isrK Hfq binding RNA". It matches the Rfam family "isrK Hfq binding RNA". Lineage: Bacteria; Pseudomonadati; Pseudomonadota; Gammaproteobacteria; Oceanospirillales; Saccharospirillaceae. The record is from Rfam by way of RNAcentral.